UACGGGGGGGGCAAGCGUUGUUCGGAAUUACUGGGCGUAAAGGGUGCGUAGGCGGCUUUCUAAGUUGGAUGUGAAAACUAUGGGCUCAACCCAUAGCCUGCAUCCAAAACUGGAGAGCUUGGGUUCUGGAGGGGAAAGCGGAAUUCCUGGUGUAGCGGUGGAAUGCGUAGAUAUCAGGAGGAACACCUAUGGCGAAGGCAGCUCGCUGGGACGGUACUGACGCUGAGACGCGAAAGCGUGGGGAGCGAACAGG
Molecule: ribosomal RNA, 253 nt
Filed under: uncultured bacterium
Lineage: Bacteria
Description: partial 16S ribosomal RNA
Rfam family: Bacterial small subunit ribosomal RNA
Source: RNAcentral